This is a long non-coding RNA of Pan troglodytes (chimpanzee), 350 nucleotides long. RefSeq lists it as uncharacterized. The transcript is spliced from 3 exons. NCBI's taxonomy places the organism in Eukaryota, Metazoa, Chordata, Mammalia, Primates, Hominidae. The record is from RefSeq and is a predicted model, not a curated record.
CAGCGGCGGUUGAAUUGCCAUGGCAACGCGGUGGGCGCGCGCUUGUCGUGUUGGUCUCUUGGGAGGUAGCGGGGCUAGGCCGGGCGGGUAUCCGCCUCUCCCAGCUUAGUUAUUUACUAGCUUGGUUAUUGACUUCCUACCCGGCACUCAACUUUAUUCACUGCUGUAUCCUCAGUGCCUAGGACGAUGCUUGGAACGUGAUUCAUUGAUUCCAGGUAAAUCAGAGGAACAAGCAACAUGAACAGAAAUAUGUAGAAAAUGCUAUUAUGCAGAAGCAUAAUUGUUGUUUCAGAAGUCCAGCAUCUGGUGCACUUAGCAAUAGAGAAUAUAUUAAAGUCUUUCCAAAAUAA